RNAcentral lists this ribosomal RNA (278 nucleotides) under uncultured bacterium. RNAcentral's name for it is "partial 16S ribosomal RNA". It matches the Rfam family "Bacterial small subunit ribosomal RNA", at positions 32 to 294 of the family's 1533-position model. The record is from RNAcentral.
AAUCAACGCUGGCGGCGUGCCUAACACAUGCAAGUCGAGCGCGAAUAGGGGGGCAACUCCCUUAGUAGAGCGGCAAACGGGUGAGUAACGCGUGGGUGAUCUACCUUCGAGUGGGGAGCAACACCGGGAAACUGGUGCUGAUACCGCAUGACAUCCCGGGUCCACACCGGGAUCAAAGCUGGGGACCGUAAGGCCUGGCGCUUGAAGACGAGCCCGCGUCCGAUUAGCUAGNGGUCGGGGUAACGGGCCCACCAAGGCGACGAUCGGUAGCCGGCCUG